RNAcentral lists this ribosomal RNA (275 nucleotides) under uncultured bacterium. RNAcentral describes it as "partial 16S ribosomal RNA". It matches the Rfam family "Bacterial small subunit ribosomal RNA", at positions 338 to 627 of the family's 1533-position model. The record is from RNAcentral.
CCUACGGGAGGCUGCAGUCGAGAAUUUUUCACAAUGGGGGAAACCCUGAUGGAGCGACGCCGCGUGGAGGAUGAAGGCCCUCGGGUUGUAAACUCCUGUCAUGCGGGAACAAGAAAGUGAUAGUACCGCAAGAGGAAGAGACGGCUAACUCUGUGCCAGCAGCCGCGGUAAUACAGAGGUCUCAAGCGUUGUUCGGAUUCAUUGGGCGUAAAGGGUGCGUAGGUGGCGAUGUAAGUCUAACGUGAAAUCUCGGGGCUCAACCCCGAAAUUGCGUC